Molecule: ribosomal RNA, 120 nt
Filed under: Pteropus alecto (black flying fox)
Lineage: Eukaryota; Metazoa; Chordata; Mammalia; Chiroptera; Pteropodidae
Source: RNAcentral
GUCUACAGCCAUACCACCCUGAACAAGCCCGAUCCCAUCUGAUCUCGGGAAGCUAAGUGGGGUCGGGCCUGGUUAGUACUUGGAUGGGAGAACAUCUAGGAAGACCAGCUGCUGUAGGUG